GACGAACGCUGGCGGCAUGCCUAAUACAUGCAAGUCGAGCGAACAGAUGGAGUGCUUGCACUUCUGACGUUAGCGGCGAACGGGUGAGUAACACGUAAGGAAUCUACCUAUAAGCGGGGGAUAACAUUCGGAAACGGGUGCUAAUACCGCAUAAUAUCUUCUUCCGCAUGGAAGAAGAUUGAAAGACGGCUCUGCUGUCACUUAUAGAUGACCUUGCGGUGCAUUAGUUAGUUGGUGGGGUAACGGCCUACCAAGACGAUGAUGCAUAGCCGACCUGAGAGGGUAAUCGGCCACAUUGGGACUGAGACACGGCCCAAACUCCUACGGGAGGCAGCAGUAGGGAAUCUUCCGCAAUGGGCGAAAGCCUGACGGAGCAAUGCCGCGUGAGUGAAGAAGGCCUUCGGGUCGUAAAACUCUGUUAUAAGAGAAGAACAAAUUGUAGAGUAACUGCUACAGUCUUGACGGUAUCUUAUCAGAAAGCCACGGCUAACUACGUGCCAGCCGCCGCCGCGG
RNAcentral lists this ribosomal RNA (513 nucleotides) under uncultured bacterium. Its description in RNAcentral is "partial 16S ribosomal RNA". It matches the Rfam family "Bacterial small subunit ribosomal RNA", at positions 28 to 523 of the family's 1533-position model. The record is from RNAcentral.